UAUAUAUCGUAUCCCAGCCAUGCUGAUUUAUUUUGAGAUUUCUUCUACUGCACAUAAAAAAGUGAGUAUUAGAUAAAAUUGAAUCAGCAUAAUAACUUAAUAUUUCUGCUCGUCUGCUGCCUAAUUCUAAUCUACAGCACACCGGCUGCAAUUAUAUAAUGGAAAUAUAGGAGAUGACUUGGAUUGCCUGGAUCUAUUUUCAUUCGCUCCCAAGAGGCUAUCUGACAAAUAUUAAUAACCAUUGACUCAGGGAAAUCUACAUAAUCUCACUGAUCCUCAGCGUCCUCUUUUGUAAAAUGGGAUUGGUAACGCCUGCCCUCUAAGGUGGUUGAGACUUGUUGCACAUGAAAUGCUUGGCACAGUGCCCUGCCUGCAACGAAUUGGAGGUGCCAUUCUCUGGACCAGUCAGAGUUUUCUGGAUGCAACGAUGUACUUCCACUCUGGUUACUUCAAGCGAAGGAGAAAUAAGUUGAACUGAAGCAGGUGACUGAGAGGACAAGAACCGGAGACCACAGGGGCCCUGGGAGGUAUUGAUCUCCAGUAAGCAUCUUGCUAACCUUAGUCCCACUCAGCAUCUGUUUCCAGAGAACUUAGUUGUCACAGCUCCCUUGCACACUACUGCUUUGAGUCAAACAAAUUCUUCUCUGGGGAAUGAGAUGAGGGAUGGCAUUCAUUCUUUGAAGCAGAACCACAGAGCAAGGCACAGGCAGAAUGGAGGAUGUGGGGACCUCCUGAUUGAUGGCUGGGCCGGAGGAUACAAAGUCAGUUUUAG
This 772-nucleotide long non-coding RNA is filed under the name Equus caballus (horse). Its description in RNAcentral is "lncRNA (ENSECAG00000047743.1)". The record is from RNAcentral. Lineage: Eukaryota; Metazoa; Chordata; Mammalia; Perissodactyla; Equidae.